GAUCGCGGUGAUGCGGGCUGUUCGCUGCCCGCACAUUGCGAGAAGUCCACUGAACCUUAUCAUUUAGAGGAAGGAGAAGUCGUAACAAGGUUUCCGUAGGUGAACCUGCGGAAGGAUCAUUG
This 122-nucleotide ribosomal RNA is filed under the name Elatostema sinense var. xinningense. RNAcentral's name for it is "partial 18S ribosomal RNA". It matches the Rfam family "Eukaryotic small subunit ribosomal RNA", at positions 1713 to 1831 of the family's 1831-position model. The record is from RNAcentral. Lineage: Eukaryota; Viridiplantae; Streptophyta; Magnoliopsida; Rosales; Urticaceae.